GGAGGGGUUGCAACAGUGCGGAAAGAGAGCGUGCUUUGGCCGAAGCAAGCAGGGUAUUUCCGAUAAAAAGCAUCUUAAAAUACUCUCAAAAUGGACCACGGAGUGAAGAACAAUCUGGUGGCAAAGGAGGAAGAAGGAGGAGGGAGUGACCAGAAUGUCUGCCUUAUGAGCCCUGGAGAAUUGAACGAGACCGAAAAUCUAACAGUGUGGAGUGAUUUUGGUGUUGGUGAUAAUUACUGACUCCUGACAUACUUAGAAGAUGAAACAUCACACAAAUAUCAUAGGAAGGAAAUGUGGGGAGAACGACUACAAGCGUGAACUUGAACUGGAUGAUGCUUUGUGUACGACAGAAAAAAGGACAGAACAGUGUGAUAUUUACAGAUGUAUAAAUCCUCCUUGACCACCAGCCUUGACCACCAAUCAAUCAAGAAGUCCUAAUCGUUUGGCCUCAGAAAUCGAUUUCAGAAUUAUAAUCUCUCCUUCCUUUGAUGCUUUAGCCUUAAUUGACAUCCUCCCAUUACUUCCAGUGCAGACACUGCAGGCCGGUACCCGGCAGAUCUCCGUAACUAUAGUUUCUCCU
Molecule: long non-coding RNA, 580 nt
Organism: Mirounga angustirostris (Northern elephant seal)
Lineage: Eukaryota; Metazoa; Chordata; Mammalia; Carnivora; Phocidae
Exons: 3
Source: RefSeq, a predicted model, not a curated record